GCUGGGCGCGGUGGCUCACGCCUGUAAUCCCAGCACUUUGGGAGGCCGAGGUGGGUGGAUCACCUGAGGUCAGGAGUUCAAGACCAGCCUGACCAACAUGGAGAAACCCCAUCUCUA
This is an unclassified non-coding RNA of Macaca fascicularis (crab-eating macaque), 117 nucleotides long. It matches the Rfam family "Metazoan signal recognition particle RNA". Rfam says of the family: The signal recognition particle (SRP) is a universally conserved ribonucleoprotein. It is involved in the co-translational targeting of proteins to membranes. The eukaryotic SRP consists of a 300-nucleotide 7S RNA and six proteins: SRPs 72, 68, 54, 19, 14, and 9. The record is from Ensembl. NCBI's taxonomy places the organism in Eukaryota, Metazoa, Chordata, Mammalia, Primates, Cercopithecidae.